RNAcentral lists this long non-coding RNA (217 nucleotides) under Lathyrus oleraceus (garden pea). Its description in RNAcentral is "Pisum sativum (pea) long non-coding RNA (PSAT_LNC014428)". The record is from RNAcentral. Lineage: Eukaryota; Viridiplantae; Streptophyta; Magnoliopsida; Fabales; Fabaceae.
GCCUUUCUAGCCAUCCUAAAUAAUUAUAUCCCUUGUUAACCCCAUUUGAGUCUGUAUCCAUUUGUUUGUUUACACCCCAUAAAAUGUACCCCUUGGCCAAAACACUUCCUUACCCUGUUCAGAGUCAUGUUAAUACAUUUAAAACUGUGUUGAAAAGCUAAGUUUGGGGUAAAAACCCCAAAAAGCUCCCAAAGCCCAAGAAAGUGCAAAAACAAAA